Long non-coding RNA from Oryza brachyantha (malo sina), 893 nucleotides. RefSeq lists it as uncharacterized. Lineage: Eukaryota; Viridiplantae; Streptophyta; Magnoliopsida; Poales; Poaceae. The transcript has 3 exons. The record is from RefSeq and is a predicted model, not a curated record.
AGCCACGGGUGCGGCCGGGCUCCUCCCCCGCACGGCCUCCUCACGCGAUGCUGCUGAGGGGGUGACGCAGCCGGCCACCCAUAUAUAAUCGAAUCGUGAUCCAAAGUAUCGUUCUUCUUGCUCAGUCCUUCCGGCGGGCGGCCUCGCAUGAGCCGGCGUGGUGUAGAUUGGGGAUCCAUGAUCCAUCGUCUUAUUAUUAACCCACUCAAUUUAUCCCUGAUUCCUUCAAUGCUUGGUUCAGUACAAACAAUAACCUGUUUCUAAAUGUGAUUUAGGGUUCAGUUGAACAAACCUCAUGCAUUGAAGAUGUCUAUUGAGAUUGGGCCAUACCUUUUUCAGUAUCCUUAAUCCUUAUUAUGCAGUUUUGCUAUCUGCAGCUUUAGAGUUCAUGUUUAAAAUAGGCUACAAAUAUUAAAGACAGCAGCAAAGAGAAUGAUCCCAAGUUUCCAACUAGAUAUAUCGUUUAAUACAUUCUCUCUCUCAAAUUAAUUUUAUUGACCAGUAACAACGUAUUCCUGCGGCUUAUGGGGGAUAUAAAUUGGCACAUUCAUACAGAAUGCAAAGGAAUCUGGCCAAGUUGAAUUUGGAUAAGCUAUCUUAAUUCCACAAGUUGUAUUUGGAUACCAGAACCCAAAGGAAUCUGGCCAAGUUGAAUGAUGAGCUCUAUGAAGUGCACCCGAUUAUGACUUGUAAUGUUUAAGAAGUUCUUGGUGUUGGUGAAAAACUUGAUCAUGAGUUUACCACUGCGUCUUUGUUCAUUAUAUUUUGUAGCAUGAUGGACCUAUCAAUGAUUUCUGUGCAUAAACAGUUAUCUUGAGUUCAUCUUUGAAACGGAAUCAGUGAGUAGGCUAGUUGUCGGAUUCACAAACAAAUUUGGUUCAAAAAACUAUAUU